UGGGGAAUCUUGCACAAUGGGCGAAAGCCUGAUGCAGCGACGCCGCGUGAAGGAUGAAGGUCUUCGGAUUGUAAACUUCUGUUAAACGGGAGAAAAGACUUGUGCCUAAUACGCACAGGGAAUGAUAGUACCGUUAGAGAAAGCACCGGCUAACUUCGUGCCAGCAGCCGCGGUAAUACGAGGGGUGCAAGCGUUAUCCGGAAUUAUUGGGCGUACAGGGUGCGUAGGCGGCUUAUUAAGUCAAUUGUUAAAUCUCCCGGCCUAACUGGGAACCAGCAAUUGAUACUGACGAGCUAGAGGAUGGAAGAGAGAAGCGGAAUUCUCGGAGUAGCGGUAAAAUGCGUAGAUCUCGAGAGGAACACCGAUGGCGAAGGCAGCUUCUUGGUCCAUUUCUGACGCU
Molecule: ribosomal RNA, 400 nt
Filed under: uncultured bacterium
Lineage: Bacteria
Description: bacterial SSU rRNA
Rfam family: Bacterial small subunit ribosomal RNA
Source: RNAcentral